CCAGGGCCGCACCUGCGGCACAUGGAGGUUCUCAAGCUAGGGGUCUAAUCGGAGGUGUAGCCGCCAGCCUACGCCAGAGCCGCAGCAACACCAGAUCUGAGCCUCGUCUGUGACCUACACCACAGCUUGUGGCAACGCCAGAUCUUCAACCCACGCAGUGAGGCCAAGGAUCGAACCCAACCUCAUGGUUCCUAGUCGGACUCAUUAACCAUUGAUCCACGACAGGAACUCCAGGACCACUAAAUGCUGGGCCUCUGGAAGCCUUGGAUGCGAGGCGGUCUGUAUCAUAGGCAUUCGCCCACCUCUGCAAAGCGAAAGGAGAAACAUUCCGUCUGCCAUUGAGUGACGAGACACAGAUUCUUGGUGCCUGCCCACACACCCUGCCCUUCAAAACAAGCCUGCCAAUCAACCAGGGCCCCCCUGGCUCUCAACACUCCGGCCUAGACUCAGCCUCAGCAUCCUUGUCCACUGGACUGUGAUGCGUGGCAUCCAUGGUGACACUGAGUAGCCACUUUUGUCCUAUAAAAACACUAGUAAAGAUGAGCUGGCUACUUUCUGUCACUUUUGUGAAAGAUAAUGUAGGCAAACCUGGUAGAAUUUCCACCUGCUUCUUCAAGCUCAAAUACUAGAAUCAAACGUCUUCCAGACAUUGUAAUCAAUUAAUACUGUGAUACAGCUGGUCAAAUUACUCUUUUUAAUGUGCGUACGCUUAAUUACCAUCCACUUUUACAUCUAAAAAAUUCACUCUAAGUUGAGUGUUUCUAUCAAGAUGUUGGCUCUCUCCAGCACAGUCCAUUAGAUUGAUAAAAAUCCAUUUUAAAAUUUAGAGUCUGGCCCAGCAAUCCCACACCUGGGAAUCCAUCCCAAUGAAAUAAAAGCAUCCGUCUGGACAUCGAACAAAGAUGCUUAGUGUAUCACUCUGGGUGGCCGGGUGGGAGUGUGGGAAGAAACCCCUGGAGGCUAAAUGGAUGCCCCUCUGACACGUUCAAGAUGGGGCAGGACUGGGUAAAUCAUGGUACAUCCACACCAGGGACUAUCAGGCCUCAGCGGGAUGCAAAAAGACAGACAACGAGCAGUACGCAUAAAAUGAUUCCAUGUUGUAUCAAGCACAACUACCCCAAAGAAAAAGCUUUUAUAUCUAUAUAUGAAAAAUUUAGAAGGAAACAGAUUAGAUUGUUGGCAUGUUGCACCUCACAAGGAGGGGUUGACUGGAGGGGAGGGGUAAAGUGACAGAGGGUGGCACUAGGCCGAAAUGGGAUGGACAUGCUCUAAGAUGAACCUUACCAGAAGGUGCACUGACUCACACCAAGAAUGAGCCCAGCAAAGAGCCGGGCGGGCCUCACCCUGUCUGAGGCGUUACGGAGGCAUCUUCAUACAGAAGGACUUCCAUCCUCACACCUCAGGGAGGCCUGUAUCACGGUCCCCAUUAUACGAGUGACAGACAGGAGGCUCAGGGACCACACAGCUGAUAGAGAGAGCCCAUCAGCCCUGCUUCAAAAACGACACGCCUUUCUACAAUCUAACUAGUCUAUGAGAUUAAACGAGGGGGUAAAAAAACUAAGCCAAAAUGAGUCUUACCAAUUUGGGAGAAAUCUAGCAGGGAAAACGGGCCAAAGGCAUCUUUGCCAGGCGUUCCGCGGGGCACGCGCCACCUUUUCCCCCACUGGAGGAGCACAGCUGUGACCCACAGGGCCUGGGGGGCGCCACUCAGCACAGGGGCAGCGGCAGACAUGCCCUUCCUCCAGUCCCGCCUGGAAGC
RNAcentral lists this long non-coding RNA (1759 nucleotides) under Sus scrofa (pig). RNAcentral describes it as "lncRNA (ENSSSCG00015029373.1)". The record is from RNAcentral. Lineage: Eukaryota; Metazoa; Chordata; Mammalia; Artiodactyla; Suidae.